RNAcentral lists this ribosomal RNA (750 nucleotides) under uncultured bacterium. Its description in RNAcentral is "bacterial SSU rRNA". It matches the Rfam family "Bacterial small subunit ribosomal RNA", at positions 594 to 1342 of the family's 1533-position model. The record is from RNAcentral.
GUGAAAUCUCACGGCUUAACUGUGAGCGUGCGGGCGAUACGGGCAGACUUGAGUACUGCAGGGGAGGCUGGAAUUCCUGGUGUAGCGGUGGAAUGCGCAGAUAUCAGGAGGAACACCGGUGGCGAAGGCGGGUCUCUGGGCAGUAACUGACGCUGAGGAGCGAAAGCGUGGGGAGCGAACAGGAUUAGAUACCCUGGUAGUCCACGCCGUAAACGGUGGGUACUAAGUGUGGGUUUCCUUCCUUGGGAUCCGUGCCGUAGCUAACGCAUUAAGUACCCCGCCUGGGGAGUACGGCCGCAAGGCUAAAACUCAAAGAAAUUGACGGGGGCCCGCACAAGCGGCGGAGCAUGUGGAUUAAUUCGAUGCAACGCGAAGAACCUUACCUGGGUUUGACAUGCACAGGACGCCGGCAGAGAUGUCGGUUCCCUUGUGGCCUGUGUGCAGGUGGUGCAUGGCUGUCGUCAGCUCGUGUCGUGAGAUGUUGGGUUAAGUCCCGCAACGAGCGCAACCCUUGUCUCAUGUUGCCAGCGGGUAAUGCCGGGGACUCGUGAGAGACUGCCGGGGUCAACUCGGAGGAAGGUGGGGAUGACGUCAAGUCAUCAUGCCCCUUAUGUCCAGGGCUUCACACAUGCUACAAUGGCCGGUACAAAGGGCUGCGAUGCCGCGAGGUUAAGCGAAUCCUUUUAAAGCCGGUCUCAGUUCGGAUCGGGGUCUGCAACUCGACCCCGUGAAGUCGGAGUCGCUAGUAAU